AGUGAACGUUGGCGGCGUGGAUUAGGCAUGCGAGUCGAGCGAUCGUAGCAAUACGGGAGCGGCAAACGGGGUAGGAAUACAUCGGAACGUACCUUUUGGUUGAGAAUAGCGUUGGGAAACUGACGGUAAUACUCAAUAAAGUCGAGAGACCAAAGGUUUACUGCCGGAAGAGCGGCCGAUGCGAUAUUAGGUAGUUGGUGGGGUAAUGGCCUACCAAGCCUGAGAUGUCUAGGGGGUGUGAGAGCAUGGCCCCCACCACUGGGACUGAGAAACUGCCCAGACACCUACGGGUGGCUGCAGUCGAGGAUCUUCGUCAAUGGGCGAAAGCCUGAACGAGCGACGCCGCGUGCGGGAUGAAGGCCCUUGGGUUGUAAACCGCUGUCAGGGGGGAUGAAACCGUAAGGUUGACAGAGCCCCAGAGGAAGCACGGGCUAAGUUCGUG
This 442-nucleotide ribosomal RNA is filed under the name uncultured bacterium. Its description in RNAcentral is "bacterial SSU rRNA". It matches the Rfam family "Bacterial small subunit ribosomal RNA", at positions 29 to 507 of the family's 1533-position model. The record is from RNAcentral.